This 710-nucleotide ribosomal RNA is filed under the name uncultured Pseudomonadota bacterium. RNAcentral describes it as "bacterial SSU rRNA". It matches the Rfam family "Bacterial small subunit ribosomal RNA", at positions 46 to 745 of the family's 1533-position model. Lineage: Bacteria; Pseudomonadati; Pseudomonadota. The record is from RNAcentral.
GCCUAACACAUGCAAGUCGAACGGUAACAGGAAACAGCUUGCUGUUUCGCUGACGAGUGGCGGACGGGUGAGUAAUGUCUGGGAAACUGCCUGAUGGAGGGGGAUAACUACUGGAAACGGUAGCUAAUACCGCAUAACGUCGCAAGACCAAAGAGGGGGACCCUCGGGCCUCUUGCCAUCGGAUGUGCCCAGAUGGGAUUAGCUUGUUGGUGGGGUAACGGCUCACCAAGGCGACGAUCCCUAGCUGGUCUGAGAGGAUGACCAGCCACACUGGAACUGAGACACGGUCCAGACUCCUACGGGAGGCAGCAGUGGGGAAUAUUGCACAAUGGGCGCAAGCCUGAUGCAGCCAUGCCGCGUGUAUGAAGAAGGCCUUCGGGUUGUAAAGUACUUUCAGCGGGGAGGAAGGGAGUAAAGUUAAUACCUUUGCUCAUUGACGUUACCCGCAGAAGAAGCACCGGCUAACUCCGUGCCAGCAGCCGCGGUAAUACGGAGGGUGCAAGCGUUAAUCGGAAUUACAGGGCGUAAAGCGCACGCAGGCGGUUUGUUAAGUCAGAUGUGAAAUCCCCGGGCUCAACCUGGGAACUGCAUCUGAUACUGGCAAGCUUGAGUCUCGUAGAGGGGGGUAGAAUUCCAGGUGUAGCGGUGAAAUGCGUAGAGAUCUGGAGGAAUACCGGUGGCGAAGGCGGCCCCCUGGACGAAGACUGACG